RNAcentral lists this ribosomal RNA (504 nucleotides) under uncultured bacterium. RNAcentral's name for it is "partial 16S ribosomal RNA". It matches the Rfam family "Bacterial small subunit ribosomal RNA", at positions 30 to 523 of the family's 1533-position model. The record is from RNAcentral.
AUUGAACGCUGGCGGCAUGCCUUACACAUGCAAGUCGAACGGCAGCAUGGAGAGCUUGCUCUCUGAUGGCGAGUGGCGAACGGGUGAGUAAAGCAUCGGAACGUACCGUGUAGUGGGGGAUAACGUAGCGAAAGUUACGCUAAUACCGCAUACGCACUGAGGUGGAAAGCAGGGGAUCGUAAGACCUUGCGCUAUACGAUCGGCCGAUGUCAGAGUAGCUAGUUGGUAGGGUAAAGGCCUACCAAGGCGACGAUCUGUAGCGGGUCUGAGCGGAUGAUCCGCCACACUGGGACUGAGACACGGCCCAGACUCCUACGGGAGGCAGCAGUGGGGAAUUUUGGACAAUGGGGGCAACCCUGAUCCAGCCAUGCCGCGUGAGUGAAGAAGGCCUUCGGGUUGUAAAGCUCUUUCGGCCGGGAAGAAAUCGCACAGGCUAAUACCCUGUGUGGAUGACGGUACCGGCAUAAGAAGCACCGGCCAACUACGUGCCAGCCGCCGCCGUAA